Molecule: ribosomal RNA, 250 nt
Filed under: uncultured bacterium
Lineage: Bacteria
Description: partial 16S ribosomal RNA
Rfam family: Bacterial small subunit ribosomal RNA
Source: RNAcentral
UACGGAGGAUGCAAGCGUUAUCCGGAUUUAUUGGGUUUAAAGGGUGCGUAGGUUGAUUAAUAAGUCAGCGGUGAAAGUUUGUCGCUCAACGAUAAAAUUGCCAUUGAAACUGGUUAGCUUGAGUAUGUUUGAGGUAGGCGGAAUGCGUAGUGUAGUGGUGAAAUGCAUAGAUAUUACGCAGAACUCCAAUUGCGAAGGCAGCUCACAAAGCUAUAUCUGACGCUGAGGCACGAAAGCGUGGGGAGCAAAC